AGGGUUUGAUUAUGGCUCAGAACGUACGCUGGCGGCACGCCUAACACAUGCAAGUCGAACGAAGUAGCAAUACUUAGUGGCAGACGGGUGAGUAACAUGUAGGUAUCUACCCUUUGGCCUGGAAUAACACGAGGAAACUUGUGCUAAUACUGGAUAAGUCUUUACGGAGAAAGCUUUAUGCACCAUUGGAUGAGCCUGCACUUGAUUAGUUUGUUGGUGGGGUAAUGGCCUACCAAGACUGUGAUCAAUAGCUGAUUUGAGAGGAUGAUCAGCCACAUUGGGACUGAGACACGGCCCAAACUCCUACGGGAGGCAGCAGUGGGGAAUCUUGCACAAUGGAGGAAACUCUGAUGCAGCGAUGCCGCGUGAGUGAAGAAGGCCCUUGGGUUGUAAAGCUCUUUCGUCGGGGAAGAAAAUGACUGUACCCGAAUAAGAAGGUCCGGCUAACUUCGUGCCAGCCGCCGCGGUAAUAC
RNAcentral lists this ribosomal RNA (473 nucleotides) under uncultured bacterium. Its description in RNAcentral is "bacterial SSU rRNA". It matches the Rfam family "Bacterial small subunit ribosomal RNA", at positions 8 to 526 of the family's 1533-position model. The record is from RNAcentral.